GGAGAGGUGCUCGAGUGGUUUAAGAGGCACGCCUGGAAAGCGUGUAUACGGUGUGGAAUCGUAUCGCGGGUUCGAAUCCCGCUUUCUCCGCCA
Molecule: transfer RNA, 93 nt
Filed under: Bacteroidetes bacterium ADurb.Bin090
Lineage: Bacteria; Pseudomonadati; Bacteroidota
Also listed under: 2 other names
Description: tRNA-Ser
Rfam family: tRNA
About the family: Transfer RNA (tRNA) molecules are approximately 80 nucleotides in length.
Source: RNAcentral